Long non-coding RNA from Bos taurus (domestic cattle), 1582 nucleotides. NCBI's taxonomy places the organism in Eukaryota, Metazoa, Chordata, Mammalia, Artiodactyla, Bovidae. The record is from Ensembl.
GGUGGGUGCGCCGCUGCGGAGCCGAGACUCUGGGCUCCCGGGUCCCGGGUCUGUGCAGCGUCCCGGGCAGCAUCUUCCGCCUGGGGCUGUCUCCAGAUCUCCGCUGACAGUCGCGGGGUUUCACCAAAGGUCGACAUCGAGCGUCCACUGGCGUCAGGUUCUGAGCCGGACAGUUCCCGAAGGUCACCGCUGCAUACACACCUGACGGUAGAGCGCGCCCCGCUGCGCGUCACCUGCUCGCAGCCUGCGGACAGGCCUCCGGAGCCUCCCAGGAACCCAUCCUUAAACACGACUCGGAAGGACGCGGUCUCAACGCAAGACCGAGCUUCACCUGCAGCACCCGGGGAGACAGAGGUGGCAGUGUGAUGUGGACGCUCCUGGGCGCUACGCCGAGAAGGCAAACUUUGGAGCCAGACGCUGCAGCUUCAACUUCCAGCAGACGCUUCUCCCCGCAGUGUGGGCCUGAGCAACGGGGGAGCCCACCUGCAAGAUGGGGGAAUGAAUGAUACAGACCCAUCCCAGGGCUGUUCUAAGAAACGGAAUUUGUAGGGAGCCACCUAGUCAGGACCCUGACUCGGGAAGUACUCAGCGAAUGACGGGCAUUUUUAUCUUUCUCAAACAUUGUUAUCCUUUUCAUAUCCAUAUGUCAUCCUUGCUCAAACGUUUAAAAAUGCCUUCUAUCCACCAGGGUACCCAGUUAAGAAAAGGCUGCAUGGGGGGAAGGGCGCGGGAGAGGGGAAGUGUGAAGUCUUCCAGGUGGGUUCCUUGAGUCCCGGUUGUGAGCUUAUCAAGAACAGGUGCUAAGAGGCCCAGGACCACAGCUUUCAUCCAUGUAUUUGUUCAUUCAAUAAAUAUUUGAAUGACUCCAUAUAAAUGUGAAUUUGCACCCCUGAUCCUGGGUCUGGAACAGAGGUAAAGAUCCAGCUCUCCCCAAGUUAUCAGCUUAAUUCAUAUUGCAGCUAUGCUCAGAAGGUACCUGCAUCCUAAGAAAUCAGCACAAUACUGAAAUUGUCCACAGGGUGAAAUGUUCACUCAUUUCAUGAACAUUUACAGAGCACUUGAACCAGGCAUGGCCUAGAUGUGGGGAACAGGAGACUGACAAAGACUUCAACUUUCGCCCAGCUCACAGCCUGGAGCGGGGGCGAGAAACCGGCCAUCACAAUGCCGGUCCUGUAGAGUGCGUGACUGGGUGUCCUGGGAACACAGAAGAGGGGGAACCAACUCUCCAUCUGGCAUCACAGGGGCUUCACGGAGGGAACAUCUGGGCUGGGUCUCAGGACGUGCAGUUUUCCAAGCAGAGAAGGGAGAAGCCCAGCCCAUUUGGUAGAGCAGCAGGAAAAUGAGAAUCCCAGAUUUCACUUGCUUUCAUUCAUUCAUUUCAUUCCCUCAGAUUGCCAAAUCAGUAAGACGAAAAUUGUAAACAACCUCCAAUGACCAGCAAAUGACAGGCAAAAUUCCUUGUCUUGAUUGUAAUGGUAAUUACAUGACUACAUGUGCUGAUCAAAUCUCGUACAACUGUACAUUUUCUAGAUAUUUUAUUUUCACUUUAUUAUUUAUUUAUUUGGCUGCAUCUGGUCUUAGU